AUGUACGGUGUAUAACCUAUGAGGCUAAUUUGAAUAUUAAUACAUUUCUUCUUUUCUUUUCUUAUUGCUUCUUCAACAGCUGUGUUGUUCUUGACACCUUGGGGACUUUUCUGUUCUUACCUACAGAUUGUGUUAUACAGGAAUUUACAAGAAGAAGCAGUAAGAAAAGAAGAAAUGUAUUAAUAUUGGAAUUAGUCUCAUAGGUUACACACCGUACACAA
Non-coding RNA from Podarcis lilfordi (Lilford's wall lizard), 221 nucleotides. NCBI's taxonomy places the organism in Eukaryota, Metazoa, Chordata, Lepidosauria, Squamata, Lacertidae. The record is from the annotation of a GenBank genome assembly.